RNAcentral lists this ribosomal RNA (301 nucleotides) under uncultured bacterium. RNAcentral describes it as "partial 16S ribosomal RNA". It matches the Rfam family "Bacterial small subunit ribosomal RNA", at positions 509 to 809 of the family's 1533-position model. The record is from RNAcentral.
CAGCAGCCACGGUAAUACGUAGGGUGCAAGCGUUAAUCGGAAUUACUGGGCGUAAAGCGUGCGCAGGCGGUUUGUUAAGUCUGCUGUGAAAUCCCAGGGCUCAACCUGGGAAUGGCAGUGGAUACUGGCAAGCUAGAGUGUGUCAGAGGAUGGUGGAAUUCCCGGUGUAGCGGUGAAAUGCGUAGAGAUCGGGAGGAACAUCAGUGGCGAAGGCGGCCAUCUGGGACAACACUGACGCUGAGGCACGAAAGCGCGGGGAGCAAACAGGAUUAGAUACCCGUGUAGUCCCUGUCUCUUAUAA